CGCCCCCUAUCGUGUUCGUGAUCGGAUGAUGUUCUUUUGCUCAAUGUUAGUAAAAAGGGAGCCUUCACUUGUUUUGGUGUGCAUGUUCUGCAUAGACAGAAAAGCCUAAAGAAACUACAGGGCGCCCACCUUAAAUUUUGGUUUAAGGACCAACCAACACGGCACAAAGAUGGGGGGCAU
This 180-nucleotide non-coding RNA is filed under the name Pseudomonadota bacterium. Its description in RNAcentral is "Proteobacteria bacterium (groundwater metagenome) 6S RNA". It matches the Rfam family "6S / SsrS RNA". From Rfam's summary of the family: E. coli 6S RNA was the first non coding RNA to be sequenced, but its function was unknown until recently. It consists of 184 nucleotides that fold into an extended hairpin structure with a large single-stranded internal bulge. Lineage: Bacteria; Pseudomonadati; Pseudomonadota. The record is from RNAcentral.